GUGAGGAAUAUUGCGCAAUGGAGGCAACUCUGACGCAGCCAUGCCGCGUGCAGGAAGAAGGCGCUACGCGUUGUAAACUGCUUUUAACCGGGAAGAAACCCCAGGACGUGUCCUGGGUUGACGGUACCGGAGGAAUAAGCACCGGCUAACUUCGUGCCAGCAGCCGCGGUAAUACAAAGGGUGCAAGCGUUAUCCGGAUUCAUUGGGUUUAAAGGGUGCGUAGGCGGAGCGUUAAGUCAGUGGUGAAAUCCUGCAGCUUAACUGUAGACUUGCCAUUGAUACUGGCGCUCUUGAGUGCGCUGGAAGUGGGCGGAAUGUGCCGUGUAGCGGUGAAAUGCUUAGAUAUGGCACAGAACACCAAUUGCGAAGGCAGCUCACUAAGGCGAUACUGACGCUGAGGCACGAAAGCGUGGGGAUCGAACAGGAUUAGAUACCCUAGUAGUCC
This 445-nucleotide ribosomal RNA is filed under the name uncultured bacterium. RNAcentral's name for it is "partial 16S ribosomal RNA". It matches the Rfam family "Bacterial small subunit ribosomal RNA", at positions 354 to 796 of the family's 1533-position model. The record is from RNAcentral.